Molecule: ribosomal RNA, 459 nt
Filed under: uncultured bacterium
Lineage: Bacteria
Description: partial 16S ribosomal RNA
Rfam family: Bacterial small subunit ribosomal RNA
Source: RNAcentral
CCUACGGGGGGCAGCAGUGAGGAAUAUUCGUCAAUGGCCGGAAGGCUGAACCAGCAAAGCCGCGUGAAGGACGAAGGUGCUCAGCACUGUAAACUUCUUUUGUCAAGGGACAAAAUCAGGCUCGAGAGCCUGACCGAGGGUACUUGAAGAAAAAGCAUCGGCUAACUCCGUUCCAGCAGCCGCGGUAAUAGGGGGGAUGCGAGCGUUAUCCGGAUUUAUUGGGUUUAAAGGGUGCGUAGGCGGACAGUUACGUCAGCGGUAAAAGCCCGGGGCUCAACCCCGGCGAGCCGUUGAAACUGGCUGUCUUGAGAUGUCGAGAGGUAUGCGGAAUGCGCAGUGUAGCGGUGGAAUGCUUAGAUAUUGCGAAGAACUCCGAUUGCGAAGGCAGCAUACCGGCGGCGAUCUGACGCUGAGGCACGAAAGCGUGGGUAUCGAACAGGAUUAGAUACCCUAGUAGUC